This 301-nucleotide ribosomal RNA is filed under the name uncultured bacterium. Its description in RNAcentral is "partial 16S ribosomal RNA". It matches the Rfam family "Bacterial small subunit ribosomal RNA", at positions 509 to 807 of the family's 1533-position model. The record is from RNAcentral.
CAGUAGCCGCGGGAAAACGUAGGGUGCGAGCGUUAAUCGGAAUUACUGGGCGUAAAGCGUGCGCAGGCGGUUUUGUAAGGCAGGCGUGAAAUCCCCGGGCUCAACCUGGGAAUGGCGCUUGUGACUGCAAAGCUAGAGUGCGGCAGAGGGGGAUGGGAUUCCGCGUGUAGCAGUGAAAUGCGUAGAUAUGCGGAGGAACACCGAUGGCGAAGGCAAUCCCCUGGGCCUGCACUGACGCUCAUGCACGAAAGCGUGGGGAGCAAACAGGAUUAGAUACCCGCGUAGUCCCUGUCUCUUAUAC